AUUGAACGCUGGCGGCAUGCUUUACACAUGCAAGUCGAACGGCAGCGCGGGCUUCGGCCUGGCGGCGAGUGGCGAACGGGUGAGUAAUGCAUCGGAACGUGCCCAGUAGUGGGGGAUAGCCCGUCGAAGGCCGGAUUAAUACCGCAUACGACCUGAGGGUGAAAGCGGGGGACCGAAAGGCCUCGCGCUAUUGGAGCGGCCGAUGUCGGAUUUGCUAGUUGGUGGGGUAAAGGCUUACCAAGGCGACGAUCCGUAGCUGGUCUGAGAGGACGACCAGCCACACUGGGACUGAGACACGGCCCAGACUCCUACGGGAGGCAGCAGUGGGGAAUUUUGGACAAUGGGGGCAAACCUGAUCCAGCCAUGCCGCGUGCGGGAAGAAGGCCUUCGGGUUGUAAACCGCUUUUGUUCGGGAAGAAAUCCUCUGGGCUAAUACCCCGGGGGGAUGACGGUACCGGAAGAAUAAGCACCGGCUAACUACGUG
RNAcentral lists this ribosomal RNA (484 nucleotides) under uncultured bacterium. RNAcentral's name for it is "partial 16S ribosomal RNA". It matches the Rfam family "Bacterial small subunit ribosomal RNA", at positions 28 to 507 of the family's 1533-position model. The record is from RNAcentral.